ACGUGAUCUGAGUUCAGACCGGAGUAAUCCAGGUCAGUUUCUAUCUAUAAAGGGCUUUUUCUAGUACGAAAGGACCGAAAAAGCAUGGCCUAUGUCUUAUGCAAGCCAAAUUCAUUAAUUUAUGAUUUAAACUUAAUAAACAAUUAACCUACAAUUAAACUCUAAACAAGAGUA
Molecule: ribosomal RNA, 174 nt
Filed under: Plectrohyla guatemalensis
Lineage: Eukaryota; Metazoa; Chordata; Amphibia; Anura; Hylidae
Description: partial 16S ribosomal RNA
Source: RNAcentral